CAUGACCAGUAUCUCCACUCAGAGCUGCUGAAGGAAGAAGCAUCUGUGCAGACCCUGGUCUGUGACUGGACCUUUCUCCUGGUUCAGAGGUGACUGGCAAACUCAUCUAUGUAAGAUGUGCCCAAGUGGAGGAACUUCUGUAAUAAUUGACUGACCUGCAGGAGACAGUCAAAAGGCUGUGUACUACCAUGGAGACAAAGAUAGAGUCAGCCAAAUUCACAUGCAACCUGCAUUGAAUCCACAGUCUGGGGCCAAACAGCCCCAAACUCCCCCACUGGCACAUCCAGUUGGAGGAGAAGUGAUGAGAAAUGGCAAAUUGCUGUGAGAAAAACUAGCAAGAGGAAAAAGUCUGCCUCAAAGCCUGAGGUACCUCCACAGAAUUGCUUCAUGGUUCUGCAGACUGAGAAGGAAAAAGAAACAGCAAGUGGCACCAGUGACACAGCUGUUAGCAACAUCAAGAGAGACUACAAGGAGCUGGGAGCAGCAUUGAAGAACUCAGGAGCACAGGAGUGCUGAGAAGGUGGAGACACUGAAAACCUUCUUUGCUUCUGUCUUCACUGGAAAAAGAUUUUUCACUUUAGAAUCUUGUACCCUGGAAGUGAGAGAGUCUGGGGAAUGGAAGGCUCCUUUUUGGUGAAGGAUGAGAUGGUCUGAAAGUGUCUAUGUAUCAUCAGCGUGCAUAAAUCCACAAACCCCAAUAGGAUGCAUCCAUGUGUGCUGAGAGAGAGGUCAAAGGUGAUUGCUGAACUGCCCUCUAGGGCUCUAGCCAUACCACCCAAGUUGCAGACAGCAAUGGUAAGAAAUUAAAGAAGAUAGAUCUACCUGCUGUAAGUGAAGAUCAGUUACAAGACCCUCUAAAGAACCUGAAGGUGCACAAGUACCUACAAAAAUCCACAAGACCCAACAAAAUCCAUGUGUGGGUUCUGAGGGAAAUGGUGGAUGGAGUUGCUAAGCCACUAUCCAUCAUAUUUGAAAGGUCAUGGCAGUCUGAUGAAGUUCUAACUUAUCAGAACCUCCGUUUUCAAGAAGGGAAGAAGAUAAAGGAAACUACAGGCCAGUCAGUCUCAUCUCUGUGCCUGGCAAGAUCACGGAGCAGAUC
Centrocercus urophasianus (Greater sage-grouse) is the source of this 1099-nucleotide long non-coding RNA. RefSeq lists it as uncharacterized. NCBI's taxonomy places the organism in Eukaryota, Metazoa, Chordata, Aves, Galliformes, Phasianidae. The record is from RefSeq and is a predicted model, not a curated record. The transcript is spliced from 3 exons.